GAUGAAGAACGCAGCGAAAUGCGAUAAGUAAUGUGAAUUGCAGAAUUCAGUGAAUCAUCGAAUCUUUGAACGCACAUUGCGCCCGCCAGUAUUCUGGCGGGCAUGCCUGUUCGAGCGUCAUUACAACCCUCAGGCCCCCGGGCCUGGCGUUGGGGAUCGGCGGAAGCCCCCUGCGGGCACAACGCCGUCCCCCAAAUACAGUGGCGGUCCCGCCGCAGCUUCCAUUGCGUAGUAGCUAACACCUCGCAGCUGGAGAGCGGCGCGGCCACGCCGUAAAACACCCAACUUCUGAAUGUUGACCUCGAAUCAGGUAGGAAAACCAGCUGAACUUAAGCAUAUCAAUAAGCGGAGGA
This 353-nucleotide unclassified non-coding RNA is filed under the name soil metagenome. RNAcentral describes it as "partial contains 5.8S ribosomal RNA, internal transcribed spacer 2, and large subunit ribosomal RNA". The stretch from base 1 to 120 matches the Rfam family "5.8S ribosomal RNA", at positions 35 to 154 of the family's 154-position model. The record is from RNAcentral.